AGAAUGAGCACAUAGUUACACUGUUCAAUUAAAACUAUUACUAUUAAAAGGGGAACCCAAAUCCAUUUUCCACACAUGAUUUGAAGGUUCAUUUUAAUAAGGGCUCACCUCAUAGGAGUGAAUUUGAGAACACAAGUGGAUUGGCUUGUACAAGGGGAUCCAAUGUACUUGUGUUCUCAGGUCACCCCUUUGUGCCAUCCCCUUUUCCAUCAUAAUCAGGAUAUGAAUCGAACUUUUCAAAGCCUUCUAAUCACGUGGAAGGAGAAGUAUGUUGUUAUCUAAGUAAGAAAUUUCUCACUAUUCGAAGUAAACUUAUUUGUUUUUUACUACGUCAUGCUUUAAUUGACAAUACUUGUUUGUAGCCGCUUUAAUAUAAAAAUUACUUGCCAAUUGAUAAUCAUAUUUUACUGCUCAGUUCAAGAAUAGUUCUUCCUCGUCGGAUAGUUUUAAGGUUGUCCACCUACAAUAUACUAUGAGCAAAUUCAUCUAUUUUAAUACUAGUCAACUUCUUUUAUCUGAGAUUUAUGACACGAUUUAAGUAAAUACGAUUGAGAUUGUAGAAACACGAACUUGAGAUAUAGCUAUGUGAGAAAAUUCAAUCUUACAUAGCUAGCCUAAACAAUGACCACUCCCUUCUUUGUAUGCCACAUGUAUAAAUUGAAAUGCAAGUUCUUUUAUGCUAGAGUAAACUCCGAAUAAAAUUCCGUCUUUCAUUUAUACUCAGUUUCGAUCUUACAUAAGGGGCAUCAUCCGUCUUGUUCAGGGGUUCUCAAAGAAGUAGUGCUACAAUUGAAGGUCUAGGAAAACAUGCUACAAAAUCGUUAACCACCCCUUUUAGUGCUAAUUGUGACAAUUUUCGUAUUCAGCUUGGUGGGCAAAAAAGGGAGAAUUCCGUCUUUACCAAGGACAAUAUAUUUUGGGUAAAAUAUACCCAGGUUCACUAACAUUUUGUAAGUGUGACAGCUAUGUCCCAAUGUAUCAAUUUUUGCACCCAUAUCUCCAGUGUUUUAAGAAAAAGAAAAAGAAAAAAAAAAUCUGGCACCUACGUUCCCAACGAAAAAUAUUUAUUUGAAUGUUAAAUGGUCACGUGACAUUCAUGUGAUGUCAGACUAAA
RNAcentral lists this long non-coding RNA (1114 nucleotides) under Olea europaea subsp. europaea. The stretch from base 103 to 200 matches the Rfam family "MIR398 microRNA precursor family". Lineage: Eukaryota; Viridiplantae; Streptophyta; Magnoliopsida; Lamiales; Oleaceae. The record is from RNAcentral.